This 567-nucleotide ribosomal RNA is filed under the name uncultured Glomeromycotina. RNAcentral's name for it is "SSU rRNA". It matches the Rfam family "Eukaryotic small subunit ribosomal RNA", at positions 548 to 1114 of the family's 1831-position model. The record is from RNAcentral. Lineage: Eukaryota; Fungi; Glomeromycota.
UUGGAGGGCAAGUCUGGUGCCAGCAGCCGCGGUAAUUCCAGCUCCAAUAGCGUAUAUUUAAGUUGUUGCUGUUAAAAAGCUCGUAGUUGAACUUCGGGGUCUACCCAUUAGUCAGGCUUAAUUGUCUGCACUGGUGAGAUGGAUCUCUACCUUCUGAGGAACUUUCAUGCCAUUUAUUUGGUGUGGUUGGAUAUCAGGACUGUUACUUUGAAAAAAUUAGAGUGUUUAGAGCAGACUAUCGUCUGAAUACAUCAGCAUGGAAUAAUGAAAUAGGACGGACUGAUUCUAUUUCAUUGGUUUCUAGGAUCACCGUAAUGAUUAAUAGGGAUAGUUGGGGGCAUUAGUAUUCAAUUGUCAGAGGUGAAAUUCUUGGAUUUAUUGAAGACUAACUACUGCGAAAGCAUUUGCCAAGGAUGUUUUCAUUAAUCAAGAACGAAAGUUAGGGGAUCGAAGACGAUCAGAUACCGUCGUAGUCUUAACCAUAAACUAUGCCGACUAGGGAUCGGACGAAGUUAAUUUUAUAAUGACGCGUUCGGCACCUUACGGGAAACCAAAGUGUUUGGGUUC